This 159-nucleotide ribosomal RNA is filed under the name Akanthomyces muscarius. RNAcentral's name for it is "5.8S ribosomal RNA". It matches the Rfam family "5.8S ribosomal RNA". Rfam says of the family: 5.8S ribosomal RNA (5.8S rRNA) is a component of the large subunit of the eukaryotic ribosome. It is transcribed by RNA polymerase I as part of the 45S precursor that also contains 18S and 28S rRNA. The record is from RNAcentral. Lineage: Eukaryota; Fungi; Ascomycota; Sordariomycetes; Hypocreales; Cordycipitaceae.
CAAAACUUUCAACAACGGAUCUCUUGGUUCUGGCAUCGAUGAAGAACGCAGCGAAAUGCGAUAAGUAAUGUGAAUUGCAGAAUUCAGUGAAUCAUCGAAUCUUUGAACGCACAUUGCGCCCGCCAGAAUUCUGGCGGGCAUGCCUGUUCGAGCGUCAUU